AACGAACGCUGGCGGCAGGCUUAGCACAUGCAAAUCGAACGCCCGUAGCAAUACGGGAGUGGCGGACGGGUGAGUAACGCGUGGGAACGUACCCUGAGGUACGGAAUAACCGAGGGAAACUUCGGCUAAUACCGUAUGAGCCCCGCAAGGGGAAGGAUUAUCGCCUUGGGAGCGGCCCGCGUCGGAUUAGCUAGUUGGUGGGGUAACGGCCUACCAAGGCUUCGAUCCGUAGCUGGUCUGAGAGGACGAUCAGCCACACUGGGACUGAGACACGGCCCAGACUCCUACGGGAGGCAGCAGUGGGGAAUCUUGCGCAAUGGGGGCAACCCUGACGCAGCCAUGCCGCGUGAACGAUGAAGGCCUUAGGGUUGUAAAGUUCUUUUACCCGUGACGAUGAUGACGGUAACGGGGGAAUAAGCUCCGGCUAACUUCGUG
This 435-nucleotide ribosomal RNA is filed under the name uncultured bacterium. RNAcentral's name for it is "bacterial SSU rRNA". It matches the Rfam family "Bacterial small subunit ribosomal RNA", at positions 29 to 507 of the family's 1533-position model. The record is from RNAcentral.